Molecule: ribosomal RNA, 211 nt
Filed under: uncultured bacterium
Lineage: Bacteria
Description: partial 16S ribosomal RNA
Rfam family: Bacterial small subunit ribosomal RNA
Source: RNAcentral
UACGUAGGGUGCGAGCGUUAAUCGGAAUUACUGGGCGUAAAGCGUGCGCAGGCGGCGCGUUAAGACAGGUGUGAAAGCCCCGAGCUUAACUUGGGAAUUGCGCUUGUGACUGGCGUGCUGGAGUGUGGCAGAGGGAGGUGGAAUUCCACGUGUAGCAGUGAAAUGCGUAGAGAUGUGGAGGAACACCGAUGGCGAAGGCAGCCUCCUGGGC